GAUUUCUGACGAAACUGCUAGCUGGCCCGUCACGUCAGUGAUGUGUGCCGGCUUGGCGUUUGUCAUCCGUUCGAAUGAUAUGCGCGCUGCCCUUCACUGGGUUGGUGCUGCAUGUUUUCGAUCUUUUACUUUGAAAAAAUUAGAGUGUUUCAAGCAGGCAUGUUUGCUAUGAAUACAUUAGCAUGGAAUAAUAAUCUAGGACUUCGGUUCUAUUUUGUUGGUUUCUAGGACUGAAGUAAUGAUUGAUAGGGAUAGUUGGGGGUGCUAGUAUUCAGCGGCCAGAGGUGAAAUUCUCGGAUUCGCUGAAGACUAACUUAUGCGAAAGCAUU
RNAcentral lists this ribosomal RNA (329 nucleotides) under uncultured Glissomonadida. Its description in RNAcentral is "SSU rRNA". The stretch from base 105 to 329 matches the Rfam family "Eukaryotic small subunit ribosomal RNA", at positions 731 to 955 of the family's 1831-position model. Lineage: Eukaryota; Cercozoa; Glissomonadida. The record is from RNAcentral.